RNAcentral lists this ribosomal RNA (165 nucleotides) under Croton parksii. RNAcentral's name for it is "5.8S ribosomal RNA". It matches the Rfam family "5.8S ribosomal RNA". Rfam says of the family: 5.8S ribosomal RNA (5.8S rRNA) is a component of the large subunit of the eukaryotic ribosome. It is transcribed by RNA polymerase I as part of the 45S precursor that also contains 18S and 28S rRNA. Lineage: Eukaryota; Viridiplantae; Streptophyta; Magnoliopsida; Malpighiales; Euphorbiaceae. The record is from RNAcentral.
ACGACUCUCGGCAACGGAUAUCUCGGCUCUCGCAUCGAUGAGAACGCAGCGAAAUGCGAUACUUGGUGUGAAUUGCAGAAUCCCGUGAACCAUCGAGUUUUUGAACGCAAGUUGCGCCCAAAGCCUUUUGGCCGAGGGCACGUCUGCCUGGGUGUCACGCAACAU